AGAGUUUGAUCAUGGCUCAGAUUGAACGCUGGCGGCAUGCUUAAUACACGCAAGUCGAACGGUAACAGGUCCUUCGGGAUGCUGACGAGUGGCGGACGGGUGAGUAAUGCAUAGGAAUCUGCCCAGUAGUAGGGGACAACCUGAGGAAACUCAGGCUAAUACCGUAUAAGUCCUACGGGAGAAAGGGGGCCUCCUCUUGAAAGCUCUCGCUAUUGGAUGAGCCUAUGUCGGAUUAGCUUGUUGGUGGGGUAACGGCCUACCAAGGCGACGAUCCGUAGCUGGUCUGAGAGGACGAUCAGCCACACUGGGACUGAGACACGGCCCAGACUCCUACGGGAGGCAGCAGUAGGGAAUAUUGGACAAUGGGCGAAAGCCUGAUCCAGCAAUGCCGCGUGUGUGAAGAAGGCCUGCGGGUUGUAAAGCACUUUCAGUUGGGAAGAAAAUCUUUAGGUUAAUAUCCUAAAGUCUUGACGUUACCAACAGAAGAAGCACCGGCUAACUCUGUGCCAGCAGCCGCGGUAAUACAGAGGGUGCGAGCGUUAAUCGGAAUUACUGGGCGUAAAGCGUGCGUAGGCGGUUAAGUCAGUCGGAUGUGAAAGCCCAAGGCUUAACCUUGGAACGGCAUUCGAUACUGCUUAGCUAGAGUACAGUAGAGGGAAGC
RNAcentral lists this ribosomal RNA (661 nucleotides) under uncultured bacterium. Its description in RNAcentral is "bacterial SSU rRNA". It matches the Rfam family "Bacterial small subunit ribosomal RNA", at positions 8 to 662 of the family's 1533-position model. The record is from RNAcentral.